CCCAAGAACCUUAUCACUACCUCCUUCCAUAGGCCGUGUAUAUAGAUGCAGCAGCGGGGGAUGAAGAUAGCUAACGGUUGCUAUUUAAAUCUGGUCCAAACUGACAGCCCAACGGUCGUCUAACUGACUUAAAACGUAUUUAUAAGACCCGCUCUGUUAUCUAACUAAUACUGGCAGUUACAUUAAUGUUUCCCUCUACAUCUAAAACAACAACAGGCCAGCCAGCUAACAACAUAGCUGUAUUAAAUGUAAAGGAAAAGAAAGAAAGGCCUCUGAAUCUCAUCCCGACAUUGCUUCGUUGUGGAAACAAGACAACAGAAGAGAAAAAUAGCGACAGACAUCCCGAACAAACCCCGCGGUAAGAAGAGAAACAACGAAGACGGCGGUGAACUAUUUCGGAUGAAGCUGGUCCUGAGCCUGGUUGUGCGAUACAGUCUUCCAGACAGGUAGAACAGUUUGUGGGUUGAUCUUCUUCCUACACUGCUGGGUGUAGAGGUUCUCCAUGGAUGGCAGCUCCGUCAUGGUGAUGUGCUGUGCUGUGCAGUUUUCACCAGUCUCCGUAGAGCCUUAAGCUUGAGGGCGGUGCAACUACCAUGCCAGGGGGUGAUGCAGGCGGUCAGGAUACUCUUGACGGUGCACCUGUAGAAGUUAAAGAGUGUCCUGGAGUCCAUGUUGAACCUCCUCAGCAUACGGAGGAAGAAGUGCCAAUGUUUUGUCUAAAUUAGCAGUGAAAUAUUUGAAUUCAAGAAGAA
Molecule: long non-coding RNA, 752 nt
Organism: Sebastes umbrosus (honeycomb rockfish)
Lineage: Eukaryota; Metazoa; Chordata; Actinopteri; Perciformes; Sebastidae
Exons: 2
Source: RefSeq, a predicted model, not a curated record